Molecule: ribosomal RNA, 745 nt
Filed under: uncultured Capnocytophaga sp.
Lineage: Bacteria; Pseudomonadati; Bacteroidota; Flavobacteriia; Flavobacteriales; Flavobacteriaceae
Description: bacterial SSU rRNA
Rfam family: Bacterial small subunit ribosomal RNA
Source: RNAcentral
GAUGAACGCUAGCGGCAGGCCUAACACAUGCAAGUCGAGGGAGAAGCCCUUCGGGGCAGAAACCGGCGCACGGGUGCGUAACGCGUAUGCAACCUACCUUUCACAGGGGGAUAGCCCGAAGAAAUUUGGAUUAAUACCCCAUAAUAUUGUUGGAUGGCAUCAUUUAGCAAUUAAAACUACGGUGGUGAAAGAUGGGCAUGCGUCCUAUUAGCUAGUUGGAGUGGUAACGGCACCCCAAGGCUACGAUAGGUAGGGGUCCUGAGAGGGAGAUCCCCCACACUGGUACUGAGACAGGGACCAGACUCCUACGGGAGGCAGCAGUGAGGAAUAUUGGUCAAUGGUCGGAAGACUGAACCAGCCAUGCCGUGUGCAGGAAGAAUGCCUUAUGGGUUGUAAACUGCUUUUAUAUGGGAAGAAUAAGGUGUACGAGUACAUUGAUGACGGUACCAUAUGAAUAAGCAUCGGCUAACUCCGUGCCAGCAGCCGCGGUAAUACGGAGGAUGCGAGCGUUAUUCGGAAUCAUUGGGUUUAAAGGGUCUGUAGGCGGGCUAUUAAGUCAGGGGUGAAAGGUUUCAACUUAACUGAGAAAUUGCCUUUGAUACUGGUAGUCUUGAAUAUCUGUGAAGUUCUUGGAAUGUGUAGUGUAGCGGUGAAAUGCUUAGAUAUUACACAGAACACCGAUUGCGAAGGCAGGGGACUAACAGACAAUUGACGCUGAGAGACGAAAGCGUGGGGAGCGAACAGG